UUCGACACACUAUCAUUAACUGAAUCCAUAGGUUAAUGAGGCGAACCGGGGGAACUGAAACAUCUAAGUACCCCGAGGAAAAGAAAUCAACCGAGAUUCCCCCAGUAGCGGCGAGCGAACGGGGAGCAGCCCAGAGCCUGAAUCAGUGUGUGUGUUAGUGGAAGCGUCUGGAAAGGCGCGCGAUACAGGGUGACAGCCCCGUACACAAAAAUGCACAUAUUGUGAGCUCGAUGAGUAGGGCGGGACACGUGGUAUCCUGUCUGAAUAUGGGGGGACCAUCCUCCAAGGCUAAAUACUCCUGACUGACCGAUAGUGAACCAGUACCGUGAGGGAAAGGCGAAAAGAACCCCGGCGAGGGGAGUGAAAAAGAACCUGAAACCGUGUACGUACAAGCAGUGGGAGCACGCUUCGGCGUGUGACUGCGUACCUUUUGUAUAAUGGGUCAGCGACUUAUAUUCUGUAGCAAGGUUAACCGAAUAGGGGAGCCGAAGGGAAACCGAGUCUUAACUGGGCGUUAAGUUGCAGGGUAUAGACCCGAAACCCGGUGAUCUAGCCAUGGGCAGGUUGAAGGUUGGGUAACACUAACUGGAGGACCGAACCGACUAAUGUUGAAAAAUUAGCGGAUGACUUGUGGCUGGGGGUGAAAGGCCAAUCAAACCGGGAGAUAGCUGGUUCUCCCCGAAAGCUAUUUAGGUAGCGCCUCGUGAAUUCAUCUCCGGGGGUAGAGCACUGUUUCGGCAAGGGGGUCAUCCCGACUUACCAACCCGAUGCAAACUGCGAAUACCGGAGAAUGUUAUCACGGGAGACACACGGCGGGUGCUAACGUCCGUCGUGAAGAGGGAAACAACCCAGACCGCCAGCUAAGGUCCCAAAGUCAUGGUUAAGUGGGAAACGAUGUGGGAAGGCCCAGACAGCCAGGAUGUUGGCUUAGAAGCAGCCAUCAUUUAAAGAAAGCGUAAUAGCUCACUGGUCGAGUCGGCCUGCGCGGAAGAUGUAACGGGGCUAAACCAUGCACCGAAGCUGCGGCAGCGACACUAUGUGUUGUUGGGUAGGGGAGCGUUCUGUAAGCCUGUGAAGGUGUACUGUGAGGUAUGCUGGAGGUAUCAGAAGUGCGAAUGCUGACAUAAGUAACGAUAAAGCGGGUGAAAAGCCCGCUCGCCGGAAGACCAAGGGUUCCUGUCCAACGUUAAUCGGGGCAGGGUGAGUCGACCCCUAAGGCGAGGCCGAAAGGCGUAGUCGAUGGGAAACAGGUUAAUAUUCCUGUACUUGGUGUUACUGCGAAGGGGGGACGGAGAAGGCUAUGUUGGCCGGGCGACGGUUGUCCCGGUUUAAGCGUGUAGGCUGGUUUUCCAGGCAAAUCCGGAAAAUCAAGGCUGAGGCGUGAUGACGAGGCACUACGGUGCUGAAGCAACAAAUGCCCUGCUUCCAGGAAAAGCCUCUAAGCAUCAGGUAACAUCAAAUCGUACCCCAAACCGACACAGGUGGUCAGGUAGAGAAUACCAAGGCGCUUGAGAGAACUCGGGUGAAGGAACUAGGCAAAAUGGUGCCGUAACUUCGGGAGAAGGCACGCUGAUAUGUAGGUGAAGCGACUUGCUCGUGGAGCUGAAAUCAGUCGAAGAUACCAGCUGGCUGCAACUGUUUAUUAAAAACACAGCACUGUGCAAACACGAAAGUGGACGUAUACGGUGUGACGCCUGCCCGGUGCCGGAAGGUUAAUUGAUGGGGUCAGCGCAAGCGAAGCUCUUGAUCGAAGCCCCGGUAAACGGCGGCCGUAACUAUAACGGUCCUAAGGUAGCGAAAUUCCUUGUCGGGUAAGUUCCGACCUGCACGAAUGGCGUAAUGA
Molecule: ribosomal RNA, 1843 nt
Filed under: Escherichia coli
Lineage: Bacteria; Pseudomonadati; Pseudomonadota; Gammaproteobacteria; Enterobacterales; Enterobacteriaceae
Description: partial 23S ribosomal RNA
Rfam family: Bacterial large subunit ribosomal RNA
Source: RNAcentral